Mustela putorius furo (domestic ferret) is the source of this 2095-nucleotide long non-coding RNA. NCBI's taxonomy places the organism in Eukaryota, Metazoa, Chordata, Mammalia, Carnivora, Mustelidae. The record is from Ensembl.
UGAUGUCACAGCCUGCGUAUUGUGAGCUCCUUGGCGAUGGAGGCUGGGUCUGAUUCACUCCACAGGGUCCAAGGAAUCGUUCAAUAAAUCCUUGAAUGGACCAUUGUCCAUUCCUGCCAUCCAUCCUUCCAGCCAUGCAAUCAUCCACUCGUCAAGUGGGUCUUUUAGGACUUGGUCUUAUGUAGGGAACUCCCCCUUCAAAGCAGCCUGCUAGAACACGGGACCCUCUGGUCGGCGCAUUAUCUCUGAGAGCCUCCCUUGGAGCUGAAACAACGUACCCCAGGUGUUCUGCCCUCUUCCUAACUCUGCCGCCUGCAAGAUCACUGCCAGAGCCCCUCAGGCUGCACCUGCCCCCAGGGCAACCCUGAAAAGAACUGGGGGCAAUGACUGGUUUCCACAAAGCUUUCCUGAAGGCGUUUUGCUGCAGAAAGACCGCUCUAGCAGCCGUGAGCAGGAAGCAUGUGCCCAGACCCCAGGACCUCAGGAAAACCAGCCCCCAGGUCAUGGUUCGUGGCAGCAGCCCAGCCAUCACCUGUACAGGCCCCUGCCAGUCAGGUGUGCGCCUCAGCCAUUCAGUCCGGGCUGCUGCUGUCGGGGUAGGGACUCCUGAGGAUGGAAGAAUGGAAGGCCUUGCCAGCCCCAGAGGACACGCUGAUGGUCGCUCACCGCUUAUUCCUUCAACGGACAUCGACCAAGAAGAGACCGAAGAACAUCACCCUGGCUGUUGUAUACAGAACGCUUCAAAGAAGGAAGAGAUCCGAAGCAGGGAGACAAUUAGAAGCCUGCAAGAGCAAACCAGGCAAGAGAUGGCUUGGACCAGUGCAGUAGCAGUGCAGAUGAGAUUAUUACUAUGUGUGCUGUGCUGGCUGCUAAGGGCCGAGUGUGGGACUCAGAAGCAGUCCUUUCCUUCCAGGAAACACGGGUGCCCAGAAGAGGAGUGUUGUAAUUCCCACUGAGGACACUCAAGGGGAGCCAAUGGAACCACUCGGUGCUCCAAAGAGAGAGGGCUCUACCCCUGGGCAAGGUGCUGCCAGACUUCCUCCGUGAGUCGGCCUCCCCCACACCAUGCCCCCGGCUGGUGGACCCAGGACCACGCAGCAGGUCAGCCAUCUCCACAGCCAACAUUCAGAGGAGGGAUCAACCCUGUGGAAAAGGUGGGGACAUAGAGACCAGGGAGAUGCAAAAAAGCCAUGUGCCCCAAGUUGGUCUCAAAUGUCUCAUCUGCUCAAGAUUUGAACCUCAGGACUUUCUGAGUCUGCGUUUUGCCUUUCCAGAACCACAGACCUCCCUUCCCUCUCCCUCUCUGCACUUGUUCCGCUUCCUACCCUACCUACCCCCCAGGUGCUAUUCAGUGACAGUCUGCUCAGUCACAUGCCCACCUCCUCCACACAUCCUUAAGCUGGGACAGCCAAUUCUGUGAUAGCUGGAAUCAGGAUGCUAGCAAGAAUUACAGUCUGCCACCUGUUGGAAAGAAGCACAUGAGGGGGGUCUCCCCCUCUAGACUGAGACCAUUGGGGCAACCAAACCUAUAUUCUAUUCAUCUCCAUGCUCCUCUAUACUACCCAGCCACACAGCCUUGUUCCAAGUGCUGUGCCAAAGAGGAACACAAAGAAGAUGAUUCUACUCAAGGUCCUUUCUCCGGGCCCGUUUCUUCACAAGAUGGUGGGACUAAAUCAAAGGUUUAAAAAGGCCAGGGGAUAAGCUCUACACAACCUGCCUGUCCUGACUGCCUCUCUGACCUCACCUCCUAUAUUUUAGCAGCACUGGCCUUAUUUUCCCCUCAAGACGUCAGUCAGCUCUGCCACAGGACCUUUGCACCUGCUGUUUUUACUUCUGGGAAUGGUCUUCCCCCAGGCUUCCCCAGGGCUCUCUCCUCCACUCCCUCAGGUCAUCCAUUCCCUGACCAUGCUGUACAAACUGUGCCAUUCCCCUCCCUCAGAAUUCUGUCUCCCAAUUCUGCUCUAUUUUUCUCUGACACAUGUAUUGGCAUCUUACAUUUUCGAGCAAUCUUAGGCUGUUAGCUAGCUACCUCAGCAUUACCUAGGGAGCUGGUUUAAAAGAUUCCUGGCCCCCACCAUGCCAGCUAAAUCAGGAU